Molecule: ribosomal RNA, 495 nt
Filed under: uncultured bacterium
Lineage: Bacteria
Description: partial 16S ribosomal RNA
Rfam family: Bacterial small subunit ribosomal RNA
Source: RNAcentral
GAUGAACGCUGGCGGCGUGCCUAAUACAUGCAAGUAGAACGCUGAAGGAGGAGCUUGCUCUUCUGGAUGAGUUGCGAACGGGUGAGUAACGCGUAGGUAACCUGCCUGGUAGCGGGGGAUAACUAUUGGAAACGAUAGCUAAUACCGCAUGACAACAGUUAUUGCAUGAUAACUGUUUAAAAGGGGCAACUGCUCCACUACCAGAUGGACCUGCGUUGUAUUAGCUAGUUGGUGAGGUAACGGCUCACCAAGGCGACGAUACAUAGCCGACCUGAGAGGGUGAUCGGCCACACUGGGACUGAGACACGGCCCAGACUCCUACGGGGGGCAGCAGUAGGGAAUCGUCGGCAAUGGACGGAAGUCUGACCGAGCAACGCCGCGUGAGUGAAGAAGGUUGUCGGAUCGUAAAGCUCUGUUGCAAGAGAAGAACGAGUGUGAGAGUGGAAAGUUCACACUGUGACGGUAGCUUAACAGAAAGGGACGGCUAACUACGUG